This 253-nucleotide ribosomal RNA is filed under the name uncultured bacterium. RNAcentral describes it as "partial 16S ribosomal RNA". It matches the Rfam family "Bacterial small subunit ribosomal RNA", at positions 524 to 776 of the family's 1533-position model. The record is from RNAcentral.
UACGGAGGGGACUAGCGUUGUUCGGAAUUACUGGGCUUAAAGAGUUCGUAGGCGGCAUGAAAAGUAGGGUGUGAAAGCCCUCGGCUCAACCGAGGAAUUGCGCUCUAAACUGUCGUGCUCGAGGAAUCUAGAGGUGAGCGGAACUGAUGGUGGGGCGGUGAAAUGCGUUGAUAUCAUCAGGAACACCGGAGGCGAAGGCGGCUCACUGGGGAUUUUCUGACGCUGAGGAACGAAAGCCAGGGGAGCGAACGGG